CUUAUAUAUGAAAGGAAAGAAAGUUAGAACUCCUUGACAAGAAUGGAAGAGGCCCUCAGGCCUCACAGCACACAGACCACUAAGGCAUUGCCACCUACUUUGUGGCUUUUGCCACUUCUUGUU
Small nuclear RNA from Rhinolophus ferrumequinum (greater horseshoe bat), 123 nucleotides. Lineage: Eukaryota; Metazoa; Chordata; Mammalia; Chiroptera; Rhinolophidae. The record is from Ensembl.